This 430-nucleotide ribosomal RNA is filed under the name Excidobates mysteriosus (maranon poison frog). RNAcentral's name for it is "partial 16S ribosomal RNA". It matches the Rfam family "Bacterial large subunit ribosomal RNA", at positions 1957 to 2533 of the family's 2925-position model. Lineage: Eukaryota; Metazoa; Chordata; Amphibia; Anura; Dendrobatidae. The record is from RNAcentral.
UAGCGUAAUCACUUGUUCUUUAAUUGAGGACUUGUAUGAAUGGCCCCACGAGGACUACACUGUCUCCUUUUUCUAAUCAAUGAAACUAGUCUCCCCGUGAAGAAACGGGGAUAAACCUAUAAGACGAGAAGACCCUAUGGAGCUUUAAACAACAAGAGUACCUGCUUUACCUUAAUUCCACUUUCUGAAACCUAAAUCAAUUCAAGCAUCUUACCUCCCAGUUUUAGGUUGGGGUGACCACGGAGAAUAAACCAACCUCCAUGUUGAAAUGAAGCUUAAUCCCUCUAAGCAAAAAGCUACAACUUUAUGCAUCAACAUAUUGACUUCCAUUGACCCAAUAAUUUGACCAACGAACCAAGUUACCCUAGGGAUAACAGCGCAAUCUACCUCGAGAGCUCAUAUCGACAGGUAGGUUUACGACCUCGAUGUU